RNAcentral lists this ribosomal RNA (406 nucleotides) under uncultured bacterium. Its description in RNAcentral is "partial 16S ribosomal RNA". It matches the Rfam family "Bacterial small subunit ribosomal RNA", at positions 29 to 526 of the family's 1533-position model. The record is from RNAcentral.
AUUGAACGCUGGCGGCAGGCCUAACACAUGCAAGUCGAACGAGUGGCGGAAGGGUGAGUAAUGUCUGGGAAACUGCCCGAUGGAGGGGGAUAACUACCGGAAACGGUAGCUAAUACCGCAUACCAUCGGAUGUGCCCAGAUGGGAGUAGCGAGUGGGGGGGGUAACGGCUAACCUAGGCGACGAUCCCUAGCUGGUCGGAGAGGAUGACAGGCCACACUGGAACUGGACAACGGUCCAGACUCAUACGGGUGGCAGCAGUGGGAAAUAUUGCACAAGGGGGGCAAGCCUGAUACAGCCAUGCCGCGUGUAUGAAGAAGGCCUUCGGGUUGUAAAGUACUUUCAGCGAGGAGGCGUUACUCGCAGAAGAAGCAUCGGCUAACUCCGUGCCAGCAGCCGCGGUAAUUC